RNAcentral lists this ribosomal RNA (305 nucleotides) under uncultured bacterium. RNAcentral's name for it is "bacterial SSU rRNA". It matches the Rfam family "Bacterial small subunit ribosomal RNA", at positions 335 to 642 of the family's 1533-position model. The record is from RNAcentral.
UGGCCUACGGGAGGCAGCAGUGGGGAAUAUUGCACAAUGGGGGAAACCCUGAUGCAGCGACGCCGCGUGAGUGAAGAAGUAUCUCGGUACGUAAAGCUCUAUCAGCAGGGAAGAAAAAAAGUCUUUGGCUUUGGACGGUACCUGACUAAGAAGCCCCGGCUAACUACGUGCCAGCAGCCGCGGUAAUACGUAGGGGGCGAGCGUUAUCCGGAUUUACUGGGUGUAAAGGGAGCGUAGACGGCUGGGCAAGCCUGAUGUGAAAGGCGGGGGCGCAACCCUCGGACUGCAUUGGGAACUGUCCGGCG